This 253-nucleotide ribosomal RNA is filed under the name uncultured bacterium. RNAcentral's name for it is "partial 16S ribosomal RNA". It matches the Rfam family "Bacterial small subunit ribosomal RNA", at positions 524 to 776 of the family's 1533-position model. The record is from RNAcentral.
UACAGAGGGUGCGAGCGUUGUCCGGAAUCACUGGGCGUAAAGGGCGCGUAGGCGGCCGCGUAAGUCACUUGUGAAAUCCCGGGGCUCAACUCCGGGGCCGCAGGUGAGACUGCGUGGCUAGAGCACGGUAGAGGCGAGUGGAAUUCCCGGUGUAGCGGUGGAAUGCGUAGAUAUCGGGAAGAACAUCGGUGGCGAAGGCGGCUCGCUGGGCCCUUACUGACGCUGAGACUCGAAAGCGUGGGGAGCAAACGGG